GGAGGCUUAGGGGAUAUAUCUGCCUGCUUGAAAGCACUCUUAAACUUUCUAUGGAAAGGUAAUUUAUAUUAUGGCGAUAACUUCGAACACAACCUUCAGGCUUUCAUUGAGAGCAUAGAUUCUAUAGCAACGAAAUAACAUAUUUUAGCAUCUUUGGAGCCUGGAACUGUGUGCAGCAUUCAAGGUGAGGCUACCACAAGGCUGAAUGUAAGACCAGAUGACGCAUGCUUCUCAUCUGACCUCACAGUUCGUGUCACCCAGGAAUCAGCUGCAGUCUUUUUAAACAGAGCUGAGCCAGCAGAUGCCUUCUGGGCAUCAGAAAAUCCCUGCAGCCUCUUUCGGAUGUUCACCAAGCUCAGCUGGCCUGGUAACCUGUGAGGGCAGUGUGAAUGAGGUCUCCUCAGCACCCGCUGUGAAUGCAUUCUUCUGGAGUCACCCUAUGCUUAGAGAGACAAUGAGGGGUUUUCUCUCCCUCAGAGAUUUCCUAGGAAGGCUGCUUUCUCGGUUAGAAUUAGAGGUCUUGGAUCUCUCUUAGUGAACUUGCAUAUAUGGGGUAUAUAGUGUUGUUUUUUAUUUUCCUGAGGAGUCUGGCUUUGAAUAUAUGUAUGAACAUAUAGCCGUGCACCUUCUUGAAAUGUCCUUGCAGUGUCUUACUGUACUGCUGUCAUUAAACACUUCCAGGAAGCUGGGGGAAGAAAGCUCAUUUCCUUGAGCAGAUCCCUUGAUGACUGAGCUUUAGGCUGGGUAUGGAGCAGGAUUGGUUUGAAGGAAGGAAUGGCAAUGUUGGCCAGGAACACAGAUGGUUGUGUGGGAUUCAUCAGUAGCUGGAUCAGGUGGCACAAAUCUGUUCUCUGAACUUGGUUACCAUUUCAUUGGCUGGUUAAUGCAAAAUUCAGGAAGAAGCCCUUGUGAAAGGGAAUGGAUCACAAGUAUUAUUUUUUUUCAAUCCUUUCUUAAAUAGAAAAUAUUUGUUUUACUUUACAGUUAUUCAGCUUUGAUGGGAAAACCAUGAUCAACAAGGACUUCUGUUGUUACAUUUAACCAGGAAUGAUUAGGAUUAGAGAGAGAUUUGCAUCACAGCAGUGACAGGCAAGCGCACCAGCACUGACUGCUGUAUGAAAAGGAGUUAUCAGAGCCAGUAACUAUCGGAAGGAGGUAGCAUCAACUGAAUUUUCUUUAGGGGUUGUUAUAAAGCAAAUUAAUAGCAACUGAAUUCUGAAGAGUGCAGUUUCUGUUGAACGAGCGUGGCUCAGUGGACCUGUAAUCCAGUUUCUGCAAGACUGUAUAGGUGCGUAUGAACAAGGGACUGUGGCAAACCUCUCUCAGGUUUGCCUCUAUGCUUAGACUGACUCCAAGUACCUGGAAAUUCAAAAUAUAAAAUAUUGCAAAGCAAAGCUCCCUGUUGCAGUUGCCUUUGCUCUGGGCUCUUUGGCUGUUGGAUCCUUCGCUGAGCCGUUCCCAAGCUGCCCCUACAGUUCAUGUGCUGGUGAGGAAACAUCCCCAAACUUCCCCUUUGCAGAUGCUGAGCAUGUCUCCCCACUUGUUGUUGUAGCUCUUACUGUUGCUGCAGCCUGCUGGAAGCAGACUAUCCUGGUGCCUGGCAGGGUAGGUGCACCUAGGGGAAGGUGGCUGAAGAAGUCAAACAAGGCUUUGGCCCCUACUCUGUUACCAUAUCUGUCCUGACAAGUAUUUCCUUUUUUUUUUUUUUUGAAAUAACUCUCUAAGAUGUUAUGGUAGCAUCCUGGUUAGUGUUUAAUGUGGCCACAGGUUUCUUCUAGCAUUAUUCUGGGUACUCCUAGGCAGUUCUGGGUUCUCCCUUCAUGUGCUGUUUACGCUCAUAUCCCAGCCAUGCUAACUGCUGUUAUCUAGAUCAGGAGGGCACAUCUAUGACAAGGAACCACGUGCUUUUUUGUGUUUCAUAUGCUCAGGAUGAAGACUUGGUGAUUUAAUUACCCACGUACCAGGGAGCAGACAGAACUGUGAGCAGAGCAAUAAAAGUAGGUGAGAAAGAGAGAAGAACAAGACCUUUGUCUCAGCAGUGGCGAGAGUUUUAGAUAGCUUUUUUUUUUUAACCAUGCUAUGCCCUUGGGCACAAGUCAUCUGUGUCUUGCAACUUUAUAUAUAACUAUCUACAUUUACAGAGUCUAGCUUUUCUUGCAACUUAA
Molecule: long non-coding RNA, 2165 nt
Organism: Numida meleagris (helmeted guineafowl)
Lineage: Eukaryota; Metazoa; Chordata; Aves; Galliformes; Numididae
Exons: 4
Source: RefSeq, a predicted model, not a curated record